UAAAGAAUUUCGGUAUGGGAUGGGGAUGCGUUCCAUUAGUUAGUUGGCGGGGUAACGGCCCACCAAGACAACGAUGGAUAGGGGUUCUGAGAGGAAGGUCCCCCACAUUGGAACUGAGACACGGUCCAAACUCCUACGGGAGGCAGCAGUGAGGAAUAUUGGUCAAUGGACGAGAGUCUGAACCAGCCAAGUAGCGUGAAGGAUGACUGCCCUAUGGGUUGUAAACUUCUUUUAUAUGGGAAUAAAAUGUUCCACGUGUGGGAUUUUGUAUGUACCAUAUGAAUAAGGAUCGGCUAACUCCGUGCCAGCAGCCGCGGUAAUACGGAGGAUCCGAGCGUUAUCCGGAUUUAUUGGGUUUAAAGGGAGCGUAGGUGGAUUGUUAAGUCAGUUGUGAAAGUUUGCGGCUCAACCGUAAAAUUGCAGUUGAAACUGGCAGUCUUGAGUACAGUAGAGGUGGGCGGAAUUCGUGGUGUAGCGGUGAAAUGCUUAGAUAUCACGAAGAACUCCGACUGCGAAGGCAGCUCACUGGACUGCAACUGACACUGAGGCUCGAAAGUGUGGGUAUCAAACAGGAUUAGAUACCCUGGUAGUCCACACAGUAAACGAUGAAUACUCGCUGUUUGCGAUAUACAGUAA
This 636-nucleotide ribosomal RNA is filed under the name uncultured bacterium. RNAcentral's name for it is "bacterial SSU rRNA". It matches the Rfam family "Bacterial small subunit ribosomal RNA", at positions 202 to 842 of the family's 1533-position model. The record is from RNAcentral.